Dipodomys ordii (Ord's kangaroo rat) is the source of this 70-nucleotide non-coding RNA. NCBI's taxonomy places the organism in Eukaryota, Metazoa, Chordata, Mammalia, Rodentia, Heteromyidae. The record is from Rfam.
GGGAAGGUGGCUCAGUGGUAGAGCACUUGCCUUGCAUGCAUGAGGCCCUGGGCUCGAUUCCGCAGUAUCA